Molecule: ribosomal RNA, 460 nt
Filed under: uncultured bacterium
Lineage: Bacteria
Description: partial 16S ribosomal RNA
Rfam family: Bacterial small subunit ribosomal RNA
Source: RNAcentral
CCUACGGUAGGCAGCAGUGAGGAAUAUUGGUCAAUGGACGGAAGUCUGAACCAGCCAUGCCGCGUGCAGGAAGACGGCUCUAUGAGUUGUAAACUGCUUUUGUACAAGGGUAAACCUGAAUACGUGUAUUCAGCUGAAAGUACUGUACGAAUAAGGAUCGGCUAACUCCGUGCCAGCAGCCGCGGUAAUACGGAGGAUCCAAGCGUUAUCCGGAUUUAGUGGUUUUAAAGGGUGCGUAGGCUGAUUGAUAAGUUAGAGGUGAAAUGUCCGAGCUUAACUCGGGAACUGCCUCUAAUACUGUUGAUCUAGAGAGUAGAUGCGGUAGGCGGAAUGUAUGGUGUAGCGGUGAAAUGCUUAGAGAUCAUACAGAACACCGAUUGCGAAGGCAGCUUACCAAUCUAUAUCUGACGUUGAGGCACGAAAGCGUGGGGAGCAAACAGGAUUAGAUACCCCUGUAGUC